GCGGGAGUGGCAGAGCCUGGCCAAAUGCGCAGGACUUAAGAUCCUGUCCCUUAGUGGGUCCGGGGGUUCGAAUCCCCUCUCCCGCA
This 86-nucleotide transfer RNA is filed under the name Nanobdellota archaeon. RNAcentral's name for it is "Nanoarchaeota archaeon tRNA-Leu". It matches the Rfam family "tRNA". Rfam says of the family: Transfer RNA (tRNA) molecules are approximately 80 nucleotides in length. The record is from RNAcentral. Lineage: Archaea; Nanobdellati; Nanobdellota.